This 1054-nucleotide ribosomal RNA is filed under the name uncultured Nitrosospira sp. Its description in RNAcentral is "bacterial SSU rRNA". It matches the Rfam family "Bacterial small subunit ribosomal RNA", at positions 154 to 1204 of the family's 1533-position model. The record is from RNAcentral. Lineage: Bacteria; Pseudomonadati; Pseudomonadota; Betaproteobacteria; Nitrosomonadales; Nitrosomonadaceae.
AAAGGUGUGCUAAUACCGCAUAAUCUCUCAGGAGAAAAGCAGGGGAUCGCAAGACCUUGCGCUUUAGGAGCGGCCGAUGCCUGAUUAGCUUGUUGGUAAGGUAAAAGCUUACCAAGGCUUCGAUCAGUAGCUGGUCUGAGAGGACGACCAGCCACACUGGGACUGAGACACGGCCCAGACUCCUACGGGAGGCAGCAGUGGGGAAUUUUGGACAAUGGGGGAAACCCUGAUCCAGCCAUGCCGCGUGAGUGAAGAAGGCCUUCGGGUUGUAAAGCUCUUUCAGCCGGAACGAAACGGUUACGAUUAAUACUCGUAAUUAAUGACGGUACCGGCAGAAGAAGCACCGGCUAACUACGUGCCAGCAGCCGCGGUAAUACGUAGGGUGCGAGCGUUAAUCGGAAUUACUGGGCGUAAAGGGUCCGCAGGUUGUUUUGUAAGUCAGAUGUGAAAGCCCCGGGCUUAACCUGGGAACUGCGUCUGAAACUACAAGGCUAGAGUAUGGCAGAGGGGGGUGGAAUUCCGCGUGUAGCAGUGAAAUGCGUAGAUAUGUGGAGGAACACCGAUGGCGAAGGCAGCCCCCUGGGUCAAUACUGACGCUGAGGGACGAAAGCAUGGGGAGCAAACAGGAUUAGAUACCCUGGUAGUCCAUGCCCUAAACGAUGUCAACUAGUUGUCGGGCCUUUACGGGCUUGGUAACGUAGCUAACGCGUGAAGUUGACCGCCUGGGGAGUACGAUCGCAAGAUUAAAACUCAGAUGAAUUGACGGGGACCCGCACAAGCGGUGGAUUAUGUGGAUUAAUUCGAUGCAACGCGAAAAACCUUACCUACCCUUGACAUGUAUCGAAGCCCGCAGAAAAGCGGGGGUACCCGAAAGGGAACGAUAACACAGGUGCUGCAUGGCUGUCGUCAGCUCGUGUCGUGAGAUGUUGGGUUAAGUCCCGCAACGAGCGCAACCCUUGUCAUUAAUUGCCAUCAUUUAGUUGGGCACUUUAAUGAGACUGCCGGUGACAAACCGGAGGAAGGUGGGGAUGACGUCAAGUCCUCAUGGCCCUUA